This 497-nucleotide ribosomal RNA is filed under the name uncultured bacterium. RNAcentral describes it as "partial 16S ribosomal RNA". It matches the Rfam family "Bacterial small subunit ribosomal RNA", at positions 28 to 507 of the family's 1533-position model. The record is from RNAcentral.
GACGAACGCUGGCGGCGUGCCUAAUACAUGCAAGUUGAGCGAUGAAGAUUGGUGCUUGCACCAAUUUGAAGAGCAGCGAACGGGUGAGUAACGCGUGGGGAAUCUGCCUUUGAGCGGGGGACAACAUUUGGAAACGAAUGCUAAUACCGCAUAACAACUUUAAACAUAAGUUUUAAGUUUGAAAGAUGCAAUUGCAUCACUCAAAGAUGAUCCCGCGUUGUAUUAGCUAGUUGGUGAGGUAAAGGCUCACCAAGGCGAUGAUACAUAGCCGACCUGAGAGGGUGAUCGGCCACAUUGGGACUGAGACACGGCCCAAACUCCUACGGGAGGCAGCAGUAGGGAAUCUUCGGCAAUGGACGAAGGUCUGACCGAGCAACGCCGCGUGAGUGAAGAAGGUUUUCGGAUCGUAAAACUCUGUUGGUAGAGAAGAACGUUGGUGAGAGUGGAAAGCCCAUCAAGUGACGGUAACUACCCAGAAAGGGACGGCUAACUACGUG